GGAUCGUGGGCAAGAACCUCAAGCAGGAAUCAUCUCCUGGAGUUAUUUGGAUCCAAGAGAGUGAAUGUUGGACAGUUGUUGACACAGAUUUCACAACAGACCAAUACUACAGAGCCAACUGCGCUCCGGACACAGGUGCUCAGAGGGCUUCCUAUCAUCCUUGGGGACAACCCCACAAACUUCUUUAAAGCAGGCUUUGAAUCUGAUGAUGAUGAUGAUUCUUUUCGUGACCUUGACAUUGGGACACUUGUCAUUGAGCGUGAAGGUGCUGUGCACACAUCUUCCCAGCAUCUCAGUCCAGCCUCGUUGCAAAUCAUCAUUGAGGGAGAAGUUGUGAUGGACAACAUUCAAAAUCUGCCGACAGCAAUGUGCAUUCUGUUUGGACUCACGUAUGCACUCCAUCUUAACUACCCCAAGACUAUGAAGCUCACAUUUCAGUUCAUCCAACAGGUAUUGCUCUCAUUAGACCUAAAGCCAAAGCUACAGUGUUUGAAAAAUCAGCUUGAAAUGUAAAGAGAUGUCAAUUCUUCUGUAAGAAGCUGUUGACUAAUUUUUUUUGCCGCACCAGUAAAACAAUUUCUGACGUGUGGGGAAAACCUUUAUAUUUUCUGUAAAGCAAGCAGAUGAACAGACACACGUACAACGCAGACACACACGUACAACACACACAAACAACACUGACACACACUUAAAUGCUGUAGGAAGCGUGCUGAAGGAUGGGAAAAUUGGACAACUGAAGACAAAAGACAUUAUUGUUUCAGUUCUUCAUCAGUCUAUGUUGAUGGAAUUAGAUAUUGUUCUGAUAUGAUGGCCUGUUGGUUCAUGCUCAGGGGGGU
Molecule: long non-coding RNA, 836 nt
Organism: Solea solea (common sole)
Lineage: Eukaryota; Metazoa; Chordata; Actinopteri; Pleuronectiformes; Soleidae
Exons: 3
Source: RefSeq, a predicted model, not a curated record